This is a long non-coding RNA of Micropterus dolomieu (smallmouth bass), 2488 nucleotides long. RefSeq lists it as uncharacterized. NCBI's taxonomy places the organism in Eukaryota, Metazoa, Chordata, Actinopteri, Centrarchiformes, Centrarchidae. The transcript has 3 exons. The record is from RefSeq and is a predicted model, not a curated record.
CUGAACGUUUCCCGAGAAAUGACGAUGUGAAAGUAAUGAAGCGGCCAAACAGUUUGUGUGUCUUUAAUAGUCUAGUCCAGAGGUUUUCAAGGUCCCCAGUGGGGCUUCAGACGGUUUCAGGGGAGGCUCAGUGAAUGGAAGUGAAACAAUCUAUAGUCUAAUGUGAUUUGGUUAAAGAGAGAGUUCAGAGUAGUUUUGGGGAACAGUUCCUCCCACUUUAUCAGUCAGAAACUAAAAAAUGCCUUAGGACAGACCUUAAUUUGAAUGUAUUUGGUGCAGUCUGAAGUUACGUGAAACAGCAAUAUUAUGCUAUCUUGGCUCAAAUGGCCCCGGCUGUGAGCUUGUUCGGGGAGCUGGGGGCGUGUCUGCUGCGGGCUCUGCACUCACCUGAAACCCAUCCACAAUCAGCACACCUGCUCUGUGUCCCACAAUCAGCCACUGCCUAAAUAGGAGGCUCAGACAUCCAGUCCUUGCUGGAUCGUUGAAUCUCCACACCAGACUACCAGCCAGUAAGCUCUCGGUGCCGCCCGCAGCCAGGACGCUUCCCGCUCCCAGAUUUCUCUCCUACCCCGAACCUGGGAGGGAGCCUCUGUCCUGAACCUCCGUCUUCCCGCUUACUCUCCCAUGAAAAAACUGUCUAAACUCUGAUCUGCGUUUGAGUCCCCUCUGCCUGAAAACUCUGACAGGUCCAGCCCAAAUCUGUUGUCCUCUUUGGUCCAUUGCUCUUUUGAGGUGCUGCACCAAUGUAUUCUUGGUUGAUUUGCUCCGUUUCUCUUGUGUCAUGGUAUCUGCUUCGUAAUGUCUUCCUCUAUAACUGGCAAAACUUUGGUUAUAAUUUUACUGCACCAACUUGGAGAAAUCCCACUCUAAAAUCCACUCUAAUACAACAAACUAACACAGCUAAAUUGCUAUGCACUUUGACCUUUUUACCAAACUAAUUCUUUAAUAGGUUAGUUCAUUGUCAUGGCAUCUGCUUCCCAGUUUCGUCUACUAUUACUGGCACAAUUUGUAACAUUUUACUGUACCAACUGGGAGAAAUCCCACUUCUGUGUAGAACUCCAAAUGCUUACACUGACUUGCUAUUAAUGGUAACUUAGGUUAUAGUUAAUUAUUUAUCAGAUUCCAAAUUGAUGGUUAAGUAGGUUAUAUUUCAUGAGACUGAAUAUAACUCAAGUUAUAUUCUAUUACUAAUACUUUAUUUAAUAUAAAUACAGAUGCAAUUUAAACCCUAAUCCCAAACAUAAUUACAUAACAUAACCAAAGUGGCUAUAUAUACUGCUCAAAAUAACUAAGGGAACACUUAAAUCACACACAUCACAAUAUUUAAAAGUUCCAAAUCUUUACUGUACAUUGUGUAAUUUGUUGAGAACAAAAUGACAUCAAUGUAAACCAAAAUCACCAACUAAUUGAGGGCAGGAUUCAAAAUCACACCCAAAAGAAAAUGUAAAUCACAGGCUGCAGCAGUUAAAGUCUGACCAUGGCUCUAAGGAUUUCAUCCUGGUACCUAGCAGCAGUCAGGGUACCGUUGGCUAUCAUGUGGAGGUCUGUGCAGCCAGACCAUCACUGACCCACCACCAAAACGGUCAUGCUGGAUGAUGUUAGAGGCAGCAUAACGUUUACUACGGCGUCUCCAGAGUCUUUCACUUCCGUCCCAUGUGCUCAGUGUGAACCUGCUACCAUCUGUUAAGAGAAACUGGGCGCCAAUGGCAGACCUGCCAAUUCAGGUGUUCUCUGGUGAAUUCCAAUCAAGCUGCACGGUGCUGGGCUGUGAGCACAGAUCCCACUAGAGGGCUUUGUACGCUCAUGCCAACGUCAUGGAGUCUAUUUCUGACAGUUUGGUCACAAACAUGCAUACCAGUAGCCCGCUGGAGGUCAUUUUGUAGGGCUCUGCUAAUCCUCCUGUUCCUCCUCGCGCAAAGGAGCAGAUGCCGGUCCUGCUGCUUGGGCUGCCUUCUAUGACCCUGUCCAGCUCUCCUCAUGUAACAGCCUGUCUCCUUGUAUCUCCUCCAUGCUCUUGAGAUUGUGCUGGGAGACACAGCAAACCUUCUUGUGACGGCAUGAACAAUACCAAAACACAAAACUAGAGAAUUGUUAGUCAGGAAGGAGAGCAGUUGUCUGUGGCCACCUCCUGCAGAACAUUUCCCUUUUUGGGCGUUGUCUUGCUGUUUCCUCUCUAGUGCACCUGUUGUCACUUUUAUUUGCACUGGAACAAUUGACACUGAUUCACAAUCUCUUUUGUUCCUAACUGAAUGGAUUGAUAUCUCUUAAGUUUAAUUGAUCUGAUGUUAUACUGUGAUGACUAAUUGUUCCCUUAAUUUUUUUGAGCAAUGUAUGAAUAUGGUAAGGUAAGUACAAAUAAGGUUAAAUACAAAGAAAGGGUAGAGACUCUGCUUUUUUUUCUGGUAAUAUCCUGGGAAGGACUCAAUUUUAUGUGGGGUAGAGAGGGGGGAAAAAAAACAUUGUUGAUUAAAAGGGUAUCAUUUGCUAA